GUGGGGAAUAUUGGACAAUGGGCGAAAGCCUGAUCCAGCCAUGCCACGUGUGUGAAGAAGGUCUUCGGAUUGUAAAGCACUUUAAGUUGGGAGGAAGGGCAGUAAGUUAAUACCUUGCUGUUUUGACGUUACCAACAGAAUAAGCACCGGCUAACUUCGUGCCAGCAGCCGCGGUAAUACGUAGGGUGCGAGCGUUAAUCGGAAUUACUGGGCGUAAAGCGCGCGUAGGUGGUUUUGUAAGUUGUAGGUGAAAUCCCCGGGCUCAACCUGGGAACUGACUCCAAAACUGCAUGACUAGAGUACGGUAGAGGGUAGUGGAAUUUCCUGUGUAGCGGUGAAAUGCGUAGAUAUAGGAAGGAACACCAGUGGCGAAGGCGACUACCUGGACUGAUACUGACACUGAGGUGCGAAAGCGUGGGGAGCAAACAGGAUUAGAUACCCGAGUAGUCC
Molecule: ribosomal RNA, 450 nt
Filed under: uncultured bacterium
Lineage: Bacteria
Description: partial 16S ribosomal RNA
Rfam family: Bacterial small subunit ribosomal RNA
Source: RNAcentral